Molecule: long non-coding RNA, 8421 nt
Filed under: Sinocyclocheilus anshuiensis
Lineage: Eukaryota; Metazoa; Chordata; Actinopteri; Cypriniformes; Cyprinidae
Description: lncRNA (ENSSANG00000027029.1)
Source: RNAcentral
AUGAAGAUCAGGCUGUCUUUGGCUGCCGCUGCACUCUUUACUAUAUUACUGAAUUCAGUAGAGGCUCAAGUGGAGCCUCCUUCAGACUUGAAAUUUAAAAUCUUAAAUGAAAACACAGUGCAUAUGUCAUGGAGGAGGCCUUCGUCUCAGAUACAGGGCUACAGAAUACAAGUCAUAUCAGAUACAGAUUAUUUGAAAGAUUUCAGUCUUCCUGCCUCGGUCACAAACACAUCAAUCACGGAUUUAACUCCAGAUGUAGACUAUUCAGUGUCUAUCAAUUCAUAUGAUGGUGCGGAAGAAAGUAUCCCUAUCCUUGGACAAAUAACAAUAGACUCUUAUAUGGCUUUCUCUCAUGCCUCUUCAUUUCCUCGUCAUGCAGAGUGUUCAGUGAGUGCUAUCGCGGAUCUGGUUUUCCUGGUGGAUGGCUCUUGGAGCGUGGGAAGAGAAAACUUUAAAUUCAUCCGGAGUUUCAUUGGGGCCAUGGCGGGAGCUUUUGACAUUGGAGAGGAUAAGACCAGAGUGGCUGUGGUGCAGUACAGCUCAGAUACCAGGACAGAGUUCAACCUGAACCAGUAUUACAGGCGGCCUGAUGUCCUGCGAGCCAUUAAAAAUCUGCCCUACAAGGGUGGUAACACCAUGACAGGUGAUGCAAUGGACUAUCUGGUGAAAAACACUUUCACUGCGGCGGCUGGAGCCAGGAAAGGCUUUCCAAAAGUAGCCAUGAUCAUCACGGAUGGAAAGUCACAAGACCCAGUAGGGGAGUACGCAGAACGCCUGAGGAACAUUGGAGUAGAGAUCUUUGUCCUGGGUAUCAAAGGAGCAGAUGAGGAUGAGUUAAAGGAGAUAGCCUCCACUCCCCACAGCAAGCAUAUCUAUAAUGUCCCAAACUUCGACAUGAUCAAUCAGUUGCAGCUGGAGCUCAUCACGCAGGUGUGCUCUGGUGUGGAGGAGCAGCUAAAUUUGCUUGCAAGCGGAGAGGAAGUUGUUGAACCAGCUUCAGACCUCAGAGUAACUGACGUCUCCUCCAAAUCCAUGAGAAUUAGGUGGGAUUCGUCUCCUGGUGACAUCACAGGCUAUAAGCUGCAGGUCUUCCCCAUGAUUGCUGGCGCCAAGAAGCAGGAGCUCUACACAGGGCCCACAUUCACCGUGGCCAAUGUCAGAGACCUGUCUCCUGAGACAGAGUAUGAGAUCAGUCUGUUUGCCCUCAAAGGUCUGACUCCUAGUAAGCCACAAGUUGUCAACGAGAAAACACAGCCUGUGAAGGUGUCUACAGAGUGCUCCCAAGAGGUCGAGGUCCAAGCUGAUAUUGUCCUCCUGGUCGAUGGCUCGUACAGUAUAGGACUGUCUAACUUUGCUAAAGUUAGAGCCUUCCUUGAAGUGCUCGUCAAUUCUUUUGACAUCGGACCCAACAAAGUGCAGAUCAGCUUGGUUCAGUACAGCCGGGAUCCACACACUGAGUUUGCCCUGAACAAGCACGAUGACAAUGCAGCUGUGCUCAAUGCAGUCCGCACCUUCCCCUACCGUGGAGGCUCCACCAACACUGGCAAGGCCAUGACCUACGUAAGGGAAAAGAUCUUCAUUCCAGCCCGUGGCGCUCGUGAUAACGUGCCCCGAGUCAUGGUGCUCAUCACAGAUGGUAAAUCCUCGGAUUCUUUCAAAAACCCUGCCAACAAACUAAGGGAUGCAGACGUGGAGAUUUUCGCCGUGGGAGUCAAGGACGCCGUGCGCUCCGAGCUGGAGGCGAUUGCCAACGCACCUGCUGAUAACCAUGUGUUUGAGGUGGAAGACUUUGAUUCCUUUCAGCGGAUCUCCAAGGAACUAACCACAUCCAUCUGUCUAAGAAUUGAGCAGGAGCUCCAUAACAUCAAGAAAAGAAGUUUGGUUCCACCAAAGUCGCUAAGCUUCUCUGAGGUCACCUCCAGAAGCUUCAGGACCUCGUGGAUUUCUGACGGAGAGGAUGUCCUGUCUUUUCUGGUGCGUUUCAGGCCAGCGGCUGACGUAACUGGAGACUACAUCUCUUUGGUGGUUCCUCCUGACACCACCACUACGAUUUUGCCCAAUCUCACGCCCCUGACCACUUACGAGGUUAAUGUCAUCGCCCAGUAUGAUAAAGGAGACAGUUUUCCUUUGACAGGCGAGGAGACGACUUUAGAAGAAUUAGGCUCUGUCCGUAACCUCGUGGUGAGUGAUGAGACCGUAGACAGCUUCCGCGUGUCGUGGAGAGCCGCUCCAGGAGCAGUGCUGAGGUACAGACUGUUGUAUGAGCCAGUGGGUGGAGGAGAUAAACUGGAAGCACAGACUGAUGGGAGUCAGGUCACCAUUGUGCUCCACGAACUGCUACCCGUCACCACUUACCGUGUCACAGUGUACCCCGAGUAUGCAAGUGGAAUGGGUCCCUCCAUGGACACUGAGGGCACCACCAAAGAAGUCCGGGGCUCUCCACGUGACCUGAGGGUCUUCAACGAGACCGUGUCCAGCAUGAGGGUCUCAUGGCGGGCCGCUCCAGGCAAUGUGCUGCAAUAUCAAGUGGCCUACAAACCUGAUGGUGGGGAAAGAAAAGAAAUGUUUGUUAAAGGAGACGCAACAACGGCUUUGCUGAGAAAUCUGUCACCAGACACCGAGUAUGAGAUCUUCGUUAGUGCCCGUUACACCUCUGGCCUCGGAGCGCCACUGAUGGGAACAGGCACUACUCUGGAAGAACUCGGCUCACCUACGAAUCUGGUUACUUCAGAUGUCACUGAGAGCAGUUUUGUGGCAUCCUGGACUGCCGCCCCUGGCAACGUCCGCCUUUAUCGGGUCACCUGGAAAUCCCUCUUUUCAGAGGAAGCUGGCGAGAAAACCGUCCCCGGGGACAUAACCACCACUGUUCUGGACGGACUGACUCCGGAGACCCGCUACAAGGUUUCUGUCUACGCUGCCUACAGCAGUAAGGAGGGAGAGCCACUCCAUGGAGAGGAGACCACAGAUGGUAAAGUUCUUACGGUUUCAGAAGAAACAGAGAGGACCAUACGAGUAACAUGGCAGCCAGCACCUGGCAAUGUUGUCAAUUAUAGGGUAUCGAAUAAACCUCAGGGUNNNNNNNNNNNNNNNNNNNNNNNNNNNNNNNNNNNNNNNNNNNNNNNNNNNNNNNNNNNNNNNNNNNNNNNNNNNNNNNNNNNNNNNNNNNNNNNNNNNNNNNNNNNNNNNNCUUCUCUCUUGCAUUUUUCUUAUAUAUAUAUAUAUAUAUAUAUAUAUAUGUAUAUGUGUGUGUGUAUAUAUGUAUAUACUGUAUAUAUGUGUGUGUAUAUAUUGAGUGUGUUUGGUAUGUUUGAUGGAGGAGAGAGUAUGCCACUGGCUGGAGAGGAGAAGACCACCCUCUCUGACGCCCCUGAACCCCCACCCUUUGAUAUUUCAGAGGUAAUGUGCAAAACCACAGCCCAGGCCGAUAUCAUCCUGCUUGUUGAUGGAUCUUGGAGCAUUGGUCGUCUGAACUUCAAGACUAUAAGGUCUUUCAUUGCUCGCAUGGUGGGUGUCUUUGACAUCGGGCCGGAUCGUGUCCAGAUCGGUCUGGCACAAUACAGUGGAGACCCAAAGACUGAGUGGCACCUAAACUCUCACAGGACCAGAAAAGAGCUGCUGGAUGCCGUGGCCAAUCUACCCUACAAAGGAGGAAACACUCUGACUGGCCUUGCUUUAAACUACAUCCUUCAGAACAAUUUCAAGGCUAAUGUUGGAAUGCGUCCGAACUCUCGGAAGAUCGGCGUCCUGGUUACUGAUGGCAAGUCUCAGGAUGACAUCAUGGUCAACUCUCAGAACCUACGCGACCAGGGCAUUGAGCUGUAUGCCAUUGGUGUGAAGAACGCAGAUGAGAAUGAGCUGAGAUCCAUUGCUUCAGAUCCCGAUGACAUCCACAUGUACAAUGUGGCUGACUUCUCCUUCCUGCUGGACAUCGUGGACGACCUGACAAACAACCUAUGUAACAGUGUCAAGGGUCCAGGUAUCACUGAGCCACCCACUGAUCUAACGACCUCAGAAGUGACCCAUUACUCCUUCCGCGCCACCUGGGUUGCCCCUGAUGGACCCGUGGAGAAGUACAGAAUAGAGUAUGUGAGCAUCGCAGGAGGAGAACCACAAAAGUUGCUUGUCGACGGGACGGUGACGACUGUGGUCUUGGAGAAUCUCACUCCGCUGACGGAGUACAUCGUGAAGGUUCACUCAGUGGUGGGAGAGGACAGCAGCGACCCCCUCAAAGGCUCAGAGACGACAUUUACUGACGUCCAGCUGAAGAAACUUCGUCCCAACACGGCCUUCAGAGUUUCCGUCUUCGCCCUGUUCGGCGAUUUUGGCUUUCUUCCCCUCAGCAGGGAUUUGAGGAUCACAGACGUUACCCACAGCACCAUGCAGCUGGACUGGGAUCCAUCGCCCGGUGCCGUUCGUAAAUACAUAAUCACUUACAAGCCAGAGGAUGGAGAGUCGAAGGAGCUUGAAGUUGACGGAGAUGUAAUGUCUAGAGGACUGGAUAAUCUCAUUUCCCAAACGGAAUACGAUGUGGCUGUCACUCCUGUGUAUGAUUCUGGGACCGGAAACCCAAUGCUUAACCAAGCCAUUACAGACGUUGUCCCUGCCCCGAAGAAUUUGAGGUUCUCUCAAGUGACCCAGACCAGUUUCAGGGCUCACUGGGAGCACGGCGCUCCUGAUGUCUCCCUCUACCGCGUCGGCUGGACCAAGAGUGGAGAGAACAACUUUCAAUAUGACACCACUCUCCUUCUGGAGAACCUGGAGCCAGACACCCUCUAUGAUGUUUCUGUCACUGCCAUUUACCCCGAUGAAUCUGAGAGCGAAGAUCUUCUGGGCAGCCAACGCACAUCUCCUAGUGGACCUCCUCAGAACCUCCAGGUGUUCAAUGCGACUACCACCUCCCUCACCACCAAGUGGGAUCACGCUCCUGGACGAGUGCAGAACUACAGGAUCACCUACGUACCGGUUGCAGGAGGAAGAUCACAGUCGACACAGAUUGGAGGGAAGAAAAACACAGUUAAUCUGCAGAAACUGACUCCAGACACUCCCUACUACAUCACAGUUGCUGCAGUCUAUGCGAAUGGAGAUGCCAAAGACAUUUCUGGCCAAGGAAAGACAUUACCACUGGGCAGUGUGAGAAACCUUCAGGUCACGGACCCCACGGUCAGCACUCUGAAUGUACGCUGGGAGCCGGCUGAAGGGAGCGUACGGCAAUACAGGAUUUACUACCAGACCGUCACAGGGGGCGCAGAAGACAUGGUCCAGGUUCCUGGAAGCACCACCAGUACAGUUCUGAAGAACCUGCAGUCUGAUACUGAGUACACAGUAACAGUGGUGCCAGUAUACGCUCCUGGAGAGGGCAAGCGCAUGUCGGAGAACGGAAAAACCUUGACGCGUACCCCUGCCAAGAACAUCCGGGUUUACAACCCCACCACAAACACCCUGAAUGUGCGCUGGGAGCCGGCCUCCGGAGAUGUGCUGCAGUACCGCGUCGCCUACACCCCCCUCUCUGGAACCCGUUCCGCUCAAUCUGUGCUCGUUCCAGGGAACACCCACACUGCCUUGCUGCAGCAGCUCGAUUCAGACACAGACUAUGCUGUGAGUGUGGUGGCUCUGUAUGCUGACGGCGAGGGCUCCUCUGUGUCAGAUAAUGGAAAAACAAUGCCCCGCGGCGGCCCUAGGAACCUGCGUGUGUAUGAUCCGACCACCAGCACGCUGUCUGUCAGCUGGGAGCAUGCAGAAGGACCCGUGCUGCAGUACCGCAUUGGCUAUGCACCCACCACUGGAGAUCCCAUUGAGGAGUUUACAAGUGUCCCUGGCAACAGGAACUCUGUCAUCUUGCAAAACCUGCAGCCAGACACUCCGUACAACAUCAACGUAGAGGCUAUUUAUCAAGAUGGGCCUGGAGGACAACUGUCUGGAGAUGGAAAAACAUUGGGUCUCUUGGAGCCUCGUAACCUGCGUGUUUCUGAUGAGUGGUACACUCGUUUCCGAGUGUCCUGGGAUCCUGUACCUGCGCGGGUCAACGGUUAUAAUCUGGUCUAUACCCCAGUGGGCACGGAUAACACCAUGGAAGUGUUUGUUGGAGAUGUUACUACACACAUCCUGCACAACCUCCAGCCUGGCACCACGUACGACCUGAAGGUUUACGCUCAGUAUGACGCAGGCGUGAGCGGCGCUCUGGUCGGACAAGGAACCACCUUGUACCUUAAUGUGACUGACCUCACCACAUACAAUGUCGGCUAUGACUCCUUCUGCAUCAGAUGGACGCCUCACCGAGCCGCCACCUCUUACAGGCUAAAACUCAAUCCUUUCAAUUCGGCUAACCGUGGGGCUCAGGAGGUCACUAUCACUGCCGCUGAGAGCCAGUACUGUUUUGAUGGGCUGACGCCAGACGCGCUGUACAACGCCACAGUCUACACACAGACCCCCAACCAGGAGGGGCCCGGAGUCAGUGUCAAAGAGCGCACACUGGUGAAGCCCACCGUAGCCCCAACACCACCUCCAACUCCUCCACCACCACCCACCAUCCCUGCUGCACUCGAGGUGUGCAAAGGAGCCAAGGCUGACCUGGUGUUCCUGAUCGACGGCUCGUGGAGCAUUGGAGAUGACAGCUUCAUUAAAGUCCGUCAGUUUCUCUUCAGCAUGAUCGGAGCAUUUGAUGUCAUCAACCGUGAUGGCAUGCAGGUGUCUUUUGUGCAGUACAGUGAUGAAGCUAAAACUGAGUUCAAACUGAACACCUACCACGACAAGGGAAUGGUGCUGUCCGCCCUUCAGAUGGUCAAAUACAGAGGAGGAAACACCAAAACAGGUGCUGCGCUGAAGCAUAUCGGAGACAAAGUGUUCACAUCAGACAGUGGUAUGAGGAGAACCGUUCCCAAGGUUCUGGUCGUAGUAACUGACGGCCGUUCUCAAGAUGAUGUGAAGAAGAGUGCUGCUAAACUACAGCAUGCAGGCUUCAGUGUGUUUGUGGUGGGUGUCGCAGACGUAGACACCGCUGAACUCAGGAACAUUGGAAGCAAGCCCAGCGAGAGACACGUCUUCAUCGUUGAUGACUUUGACGCGUUUACUAAGAUCCAAGACAACCUCAUUACAUUCAUCUGUGAAACGGCAACAUCCACUUGUCCUUUGAUUUACCUCGACGGAUUCACAUCCCCAGGCUUCAGGAUGCUGGAAGCCUUUAACAUCACUGACAAGACGUUUGCUGGCAUGAACGGCGUCUCCAUGGAGUCUGGCUCCUUCAACAGUUACAUUGCAUACAGACUCCAUAAGGAUGCAUUCAUUUCCCAGCCCACAAAGGAAAUCCAUCCAGAUGGUCUUCCUCCCGCAUACACUCUGAUUCUCCUCUUCCGUCUCCUCCCCGACACCGGCAAGGAUGCAUUUGAUAUUUGGCAGAUAUCAGAUAAGAACAACAACCCUGAGGUCGGGCUCACCAUUGACCCCUCCAGUAGAAUCAUCUCAUUCUACAAUAAGGACUCCAGAGGUGAAAUUCAGAAAGUCUCCUUUGAUAACGACCGAGUGAAGAAAGUUUUCCACGGCAGUUUCCACAAGCUUCACAUUUCUAUUUCACCGAAAAAUGUCAAACUCAACAUUGACUGCCAAGAGGUGGCUGAGAAAGAGAUCAAAGAGGCCAACAACAUAUCCACAGAUGGCUAUGAAGUCCUUGGAAAAAUGGCAAAGUCUGGCGGUUCAAGGAAGCAGUCAGCCACAUUCCAGCUCCAGAUGUUUGAUAUUGUCUGCAGUUUGGGCUGGACAAGUCGAGACAAAUGUUGUGAUAUUCCAGCAAUGAGAGAUGAAGCCAAAUGUCCCGCUCUUCCUCACUCCUGCACAUGUGCUCAGGACAGCGUUGGUCCUCCAGGCCCCGCGGGCCCUCCGGUAAGAUCAUUAGAGUCCCAUGACAUUUCCUCUGGUUCAAUGGGCCCACGUGGGGAGCAGGGUCUGCCAGGACAAAUGGGACCACCAGGUCCACAGGGCCCUAAUGGACUGUCUCUUCCUGGUGAACCAGUAAGUAAAGCACAAAACUCUGUCCAUUGCCAUUUGUCAAAUUUGUAUCGCCCCUUACAGAAUAUAAUUAAUACUGCGUCACAGAAUAUGAUGCGCUCUGUAGCAAGACAAGUCUGCGAACAACUAGUCAGCAGUAAGGCACUUCAAAAUAAUAACAAAAAAUAUUCCAGUCACUGUUGCGUCAAGCGAAGUAAAGGAUGCUUUCUUACACCUCCUCUCUUUCCAGGGCCACCGGGGCAGUCUCAGAUAGGACCCCCUGGUCCCUCAGGCUCAGCGGGGCCCCGGGGCCCACCAGGGCAGCAGGGUGGACCCGGAGUCAGAGGACCACCAGGACCUCCAGGAUACUGUGACUCCUCUCAGUGUGUAGGCAUCCCUUACAAUGGACAGGGUUACCCAGGUAAGCACAGUACAGUUGAGUGA